Molecule: ribosomal RNA, 505 nt
Filed under: uncultured bacterium
Lineage: Bacteria
Description: partial 16S ribosomal RNA
Rfam family: Bacterial small subunit ribosomal RNA
Source: RNAcentral
GACGAACGCUGGCGGCGUGCCUAAUACAUGCAAGUAGAACGCACAGUUUAUACCGUAGCUUGCUACACCAUAGACUGUGAGUUGCGAACGGGUGAGUAACGCGUAGGUAACCUGCCUGGUAGCGGGGGAUAACUAUUGGAAACGAUAGCUAAUACCGCAUAAUAUUGAUUAUUGCAUGAUAAUUAAUUGAAAGGUGCAAUUGCACCACUACCAGAUGGACCUGCGUUGUAUUAGCUAGUAGGUGAGGUAACGGCUCACCUAGGCGACGAUACAUAGCCGACCUGAGAGGGUGAUCGGCCACACUGGGACUGAGACACGGCCCAGACUCCUACGGGAGGCAGCAGUAGGGAAUCUUCGGCAAUGGACGAAAGUCUGACCGAGCAACGCCGCGUGAGUGAAGAAGGUUUUCGGAUCGUAAAGCUCUGUUGUAAGAGAAGAACGGGUGCGAGAGUGGAAAGUUCACACUGUGACGGUAGCUUACCAGAAAGGGACGGCUAACUACGUG